This 1539-nucleotide ribosomal RNA is filed under the name Corticibacter populi. RNAcentral's name for it is "bacterial SSU rRNA". It matches the Rfam family "Bacterial small subunit ribosomal RNA". Lineage: Bacteria; Pseudomonadati; Pseudomonadota; Betaproteobacteria; Burkholderiales; Comamonadaceae. The record is from RNAcentral.
GAACUAAAGAGUUUGAUCCUGGCUCAGAUUGAACGCUGGCGGCAUGCUUUACACAUGCAAGUCGAACGGCAGCACGGGCUUCGGCCUGGUGGCGAGUGGCGAACGGGUGAGUAAUACAUCGGAACAUACCUGGUAGUGGGGGAUAGCUCGGCGAAAGCCGGAUUAAUACCGCAUAAGAUCUGAGGAUGAAAGCAGGGGACCUUCGGGCCUUGCGCUACUGGAGUGGCCGAUGGCAGAUUAGGUAGUUGGUGGGGUAAAGGCCCACCAAGCCUGCGAUCUGUAGCUGGUCUGAGAGGACGACCAGCCACACUGGGACUGAGACACGGCCCAGACUCCUACGGGAGGCAGCAGUGGGGAAUUUUGGACAAUGGGCGCAAGCCUGAUCCAGCAAUGCCGCGUGCAGGAUGAAGGCCUUCGGGUUGUAAACUGCUUUUGUACGGGACGAAAAGUCUCUGGUUAAUACCCGGGGAUGAUGACGGUACCGUAAGAAUAAGCACCGGCUAACUACGUGCCAGCAGCCGCGGUAAUACGUAGGGUGCGAGCGUUAAUCGGAAUUACUGGGCGUAAAGCGUGCGCAGGCGGCGAUGCAAGACCGAUGUGAAAUCCCCGGGCUCAACCUGGGAACUGCAUUAGUGACUGCAUUGCUGGAGUGCGGCAGAGGGGGAUGGAAUUCCGCGUGUAGCAGUGAAAUGCGUAGAUAUGCGGAGGAACACCGAUGGCGAAGGCAAUCCCCUGGGCCUGCACUGACGCUCAUGCACGAAAGCGUGGGGAGCAAACAGGAUUAGAUACCCUGGUAGUCCACGCCCUAAACGAUGUCAACUGGUUGUUGGGGAUUAAUUUCUUCAGUAACGAAGCUAACGCGUGAAGUUGACCGCCUGGGGAGUACGGCCGCAAGGCUAAAACUCAAAGGAAUUGACGGGGACCCGCACAAGCGGUGGAUGAUGUGGUUUAAUUCGAUGCAACGCGAAAAACCUUACCCACCUUUGACAUGUACGGAAUCCUUUAGAGAUAGAGGAGUGCUCGAAAGAGAGCCGUAACACAGGUGCUGCAUGGCUGUCGUCAGCUCGUGUCGUGAGAUGUUGGGUUAAGUCCCGCAACGAGCGCAACCCUUGUCAUUAGUUGCCAUCAUUUAGUUGGGCACUCUAAUGAGACUGCCGGUGAUAAACCGGAGGAAGGUGGGGAUGACGUCAAGUCCUCAUGGCCCUUAUAGGUGGGGCUACACACGUCAUACAAUGGCCGGUACAAAGGGCAGCCAACCCGCGAGGGGGAGCUAAUCCCAUAAAGCCGGUCGUAGUCCGGAUCGCAGUCUGCAACUCGACUGCGUGAAGUCGGAAUCGCUAGUAAUCGUGGAUCAGCAUGUCACGGUGAAUACGUUCCCGGGUCUUGUACACACCGCCCGUCACACCAUGGGAGCGGGUUCUGCCAGAAGUAGGUAGCUUAACCGUAAGGAGGGCGCUUACCACGGCAGGGCUCGUGACUGGGGUGAAGUCGUAACAAGGUAGCCGUAUCGGAAGGUGCGGCUGGAUCACCUCCUUUCUG